Molecule: long non-coding RNA, 425 nt
Filed under: Sinocyclocheilus grahami
Lineage: Eukaryota; Metazoa; Chordata; Actinopteri; Cypriniformes; Cyprinidae
Description: lncRNA (ENSSGRG00000047816.1)
Source: RNAcentral
UUGUAGUGCACAUGACUUAUGGACCAUUGGAUCCAGUUCAUCUGGUUCAUCCAGCUCUGCCUAGUAAUGGAUGUGUUUGAGCACCCAGUCAACAGAAGCAGAGCUCUGGGACGUGUGGACAGACAUUCGCUGUAAUGAUGGACAUCUGCUCAUGGACAGUCUGGACAAAAGCAUAACCACUGCUGGUCACAGUGCGGGAAGCUCCAGGGGGAGACUGUACUGGUAUCCCCCUUCUUUGGGCGCGCCUUCACACACACUCCAGCAUUCACUCAUAUCACAGAGACCUGGCUGGGAUCAAACCAGCAACCUCUGAACCCGUGAGGCAGCGCUCUUAACUGUGAGCCACAGGUCUCUUGUUUGAACUUGUGGAGGAGCUUAUAUUUCACUGUUACCCUGUAUUUUUUUCCAAUAAAUAAGUUAAAGCA